GAUGAACGCUGGCGGCGUGCCUAAUACAUGCAAGUCGAGCGAACAGACGAGGAGCUUGCUCCUCUGACGUUAGCGGCGGACGGGUGAGUAACACGUGGAUAACCUACCUAUAAGACUGGGAUAACUUCGGGAAACCGGAGCUAAUACCGGAUAAUAUAUUGAACCGCAUGGUUCAAUAGUGAAAGACGGUUUUGCUGUCACUUAUAGAUGGAUCCGCGCCGCAUUAGCUAGUUGGUAAGGUAACGGCUUACCAAGGCAACGAUGCGUAGCCGACCUGAGAGGGUGAUCGGCCACACUGGAACUGAGACACGGUCCAGACGCCUACGGGAGGCAGCAGUAGGGAAUCUUCCGCAAUGGGCGAAAGCCUGACGGAGCAACGCCGCGUGAGUUAUGAAGGUCUUCGGAUCGUAAAACUCUGUUAUUAGGGAAGAACAAAUGUGUAAGUAACUAUGCACGUCUUGACGGUACCUAAUCAGAAAGCCACGGCUAACUACGUG
This 497-nucleotide ribosomal RNA is filed under the name uncultured bacterium. RNAcentral's name for it is "partial 16S ribosomal RNA". It matches the Rfam family "Bacterial small subunit ribosomal RNA", at positions 28 to 507 of the family's 1533-position model. The record is from RNAcentral.